UAAUUCUAUAAGAGGAGAGUCCUGCCACCUUAGUCCUCAGUGGGGACGGCUAGUUGUGCAUGUGCUUCACGUGCAGGGUGUUCCAGGGCUCCUGAAAACUGUGAUUGCCUUUACUCCCUAGAUUCAGCUGUGUCUCCUCCAGUCCGGGAUGUUGGUAUGAAUUCCCCAGCUCUGGUCCUCCCCAGCUCUGCUUCCUCUACUCCUGGCUCAGAAAUGGCCAUAAUCAACAGAGCAGAUGGCUUGGGUUUGGAUACUUCUCCAGUAUUGAAGACCCCUCCCAAGCUGGAGGGGGAUGCUACUGAUGGCUCCUUUGCCAAUAAGCAUGGCCGCCAUGUCAUUGGCCACAUUGAUGACUACAGUGCCCUAAGACAGCAAAUUGUGGAGGGCAAGCUGCUGGUCAAAAAGAUAGUGUCUCUUGUGAGAUCAGCAUGCAGCUUCCCUGGCCUUGAAGCCCAAGGCACAGAGGUGCUAGGCAGCAAAGGCAUUCAUGAGCUUCAGAGCAGCACCAGUGCCCUGCACCAUGCCCUAGAGGAGUCGGCUUCCCUUCUCAGCAUGUUCUGGAGAGCGGCCCUGCCAAG
RNAcentral lists this small RNA (578 nucleotides) under Pongo abelii (Sumatran orangutan). RNAcentral's name for it is "retained intron". The record is from RNAcentral. Lineage: Eukaryota; Metazoa; Chordata; Mammalia; Primates; Hominidae.